This is a long non-coding RNA of Echinops telfairi (small Madagascar hedgehog), 291 nucleotides long. RefSeq lists it as uncharacterized. The transcript is spliced from 3 exons. NCBI's taxonomy places the organism in Eukaryota, Metazoa, Chordata, Mammalia, Afrosoricida, Tenrecidae. The record is from RefSeq and is a predicted model, not a curated record.
ACGGUGAGAGACCAGUUGUAAAGCUGUCCGUGUUUUCCGUUCCAAACAAAGUGGAAUCCCAGCCUCCCCUUGCAGAGAGACCAUGGAGAAACCAGGGAGUCAUCUAGUGGAGACGUAUGUCUCAGGAACCUGUGACCAAGCUCACCAAGGGCCCAUUGGUUCUGAGGACGGUGGGACGGAAGGAAACUCUCCAGUGACUGAUCAUCGUGAGAGAAAACGGCCAUUGGCAGGAGCUGACGCCAGAGAUGUGGGGGAGGAAGCUCAGAAUAUGCUGGAACAUUUUGGAGGUAA